This 334-nucleotide unclassified non-coding RNA is filed under the name Hevea brasiliensis (rubber tree). Lineage: Eukaryota; Viridiplantae; Streptophyta; Magnoliopsida; Malpighiales; Euphorbiaceae. The record is from RNAcentral.
UGGCACUAAACCCUAUAACCAAAAAAACCAUACCGUUUUAAUUUGGUUUUUUGUUUUAUUUUUCAGUCUGAACGGUUUGAUUAUUUAUUUUGGGAAAUUUUGGUUAUUUGGUUUGGUUCAAUUAUUAAGGUCAAAAAACUAAAAUAGCUGAACUGAACUUAUUUAUUAUCUUAUGUUGUCUUGCCUGCUUAUGUGUUAAAAUACUCUGCUAGUUUCUGUCUCUCGUUCAAACAGAUCUCCAGCCCACUACCAACAAUACAACAUGGUGAUGCCCAUGCCCCUUACCUAUUCCCUUUCUCCUUUAUCCCUUUCUCCUUUAUCCCUUUCUCCUUUA